Molecule: transfer RNA, 65 nt
Filed under: Gyraulus sp. GE1
Lineage: Eukaryota; Metazoa; Mollusca; Gastropoda; Planorbidae
Description: tRNA-Pro
Source: RNAcentral
UUAAGAACAGUUUUGGAAACAUUAACUUUGGGGGUUAGCAAGUAGAAUUAUUUUCUAUUCUUAAA